CGGACGGGUGAGUAACGCGUGAGAAUCUACCUUCAGGACGGAGAUAACCGCUGGAAACGGCGGCUAAUCCCCGAUGAGCCUACGGGUGAAAGCGUUAACGCCUGAAGAGGAGCUCGCGGCUGAUUAGCUAGUUGGUGGGGUAAGAGCCUACCAAGGCAACGAUCAGUAGCUGGUCUGAGAGGAUGGUCAGCCACACUGGGACUGAGACACGGCCCAGACUCCUACGGGAGGCAGCAGUGGGGAAUCUUCCGCAAUGGGCGCAAGCCUGACGGAGCUAUACCGCGUGAGGGAAGAAGGCCCUUGGGUCGUAAACCUCUUUUCUUGGGGAAGAAAACUGACGGUACCCAAGGAAAAAGCCUCGGCCAACUCCGUGCCAGCAGCCGCGGUAAUACGGAGGAGGCAAGCGUUAUCCGGAAUUAUUGGGCGUAAAGCGUCCGCAGGUGGCCUUUCAAGUCUGCGGUGAAAGAGCGGGGCUUAACCCCGGAGGAGCCGUGGAAACUGAAAAGCUAGAGUGCGGUAGGGGUAGAGGGAAUUCCCAGUGUAGCGGUGAAAUGCGUAGAGAUUGGGAAGAACAUCGGUGGCGAAAGCGCUCUACUGGACCGCAACUGACACUCAGGGACGAAAGCUAGGGGAGCGAAAGGGAUUAGAUACCCCUGUAGUC
RNAcentral lists this ribosomal RNA (661 nucleotides) under uncultured cyanobacterium. Its description in RNAcentral is "bacterial SSU rRNA". It matches the Rfam family "Bacterial small subunit ribosomal RNA", at positions 99 to 795 of the family's 1533-position model. Lineage: Bacteria; Bacillati; Cyanobacteriota. The record is from RNAcentral.